UUUGCUGCGUCCAGCUUCUUUUGAAACAAAAUUUGUCUUCUGGCUGUUGCAACAACAACACACCUUUGACGUUCUAUGUUGUGUGUUGCGUUAGGUCACUGCAGUUUCCUGCGGCGGCGAUAUGGUGACCAGACGUGCUCGCCUCACUCAUGAGGCGGUACUAAAUCUGCAAUGGAAAAAGGAGGACGGGGCAAUGCGGUUGAGUCAUGCCGAGCCGAGUAGAGAUGCUACUAGCAGUGGGUUUUUAUCUUUGUUACAUUCAAGCUGAAAUCCACAAGUUUGUGUUGACAUCCUCUACUGCAGCGAGAGGAACUACAGCAAAGAUGGCAGAAAGUCGUACAUCCAAAUGACGAAACAAUGCAGGGAGUCAUAGACACAACCAGAGGAGCUUGGUCAACCUGAGCUGCACACGUCAUCCUGAGCCUGAGUUUCACUAGGAGAACAAGUAAAACACAUGAUGUAUUGACAAUUUGAGUCUUUCAUACGGUGAUGAUGAUUGGGCUGGAUGUACCCCAAGAUUUAAG
Long non-coding RNA from Perca flavescens (yellow perch), 524 nucleotides. RefSeq lists it as uncharacterized. The transcript is spliced from 4 exons. The record is from RefSeq and is a predicted model, not a curated record. Lineage: Eukaryota; Metazoa; Chordata; Actinopteri; Perciformes; Percidae.